Non-coding RNA from Pelobates cultripes (western spadefoot toad), 310 nucleotides. The record is from the annotation of a GenBank genome assembly. Lineage: Eukaryota; Metazoa; Chordata; Amphibia; Anura; Pelobatidae.
GGUACCAAUUUAGAGAGUUGUCUACUAAACAGUUGAAAGACAUUUUCUUCAUUUUGAUUUGUCAGCUGUUUAGUGGAUAGCUCCCUAAUUUUGUAUCCUUAUGUGGGAUUGCCAUAUUUAAAGAUACUAAAUAAGGGAACUAUCUGCUAAACAGGUACCUAAUUUGGUAUACUAAAUUAUUUCAAUAAUACAUAAGGGUAUCAAUUUAGGGAUUUAUCUACUAAGCAGCUAAAAGAUCACAACUAUAGAAAGGACUUUUCUUAAUUUCGAUCUUUCAGCUGCUUAGUAGAUAGCUCCCUAAUUUGGCAUC